Molecule: transfer RNA, 65 nt
Filed under: Panesthia angustipennis cognata
Lineage: Eukaryota; Metazoa; Arthropoda; Insecta; Blattodea; Blaberidae
Description: tRNA-Ala
Source: RNAcentral
AGGAUAGUAGUUAAUAAUAACAUUUGAAUUGCACUCAAAAAGUAUUGAAUUCCUCAGUCUAUCUU